CUGCAAAAUCAGCAAGGGGUCAAAUACUUAUUUCCCCCACUGUAAUUUCAUAGGCCUACAUGUAUAAAUGAUGCAUUUUACCACUUUUUCUUAUUAGGAAUUUAACUUUUUCCAAGUCAUCACCAUUUAUAUUCUCUUUGAUCCCGGAUCUGGUUUUGAGGCAUUGCACUUGUAUCAAAUAAGAAAUGCCUGUUUGACCAUUCAGCUCACUAUUCUGCCGAUAAUCCUGACUUUUAUCAUGAUUUUCUUUUCAUGCUCAAUCUCGGGACACUGAUGUAUAAAUACUUUACAAUUGUAGUGUAUUUUGAAAAAAGAACAUCAGUCUUUGCCAGCCAUUUCAGGUCAUCAGAGUAAAAAUUACAUGGAUUAAAACAAAAAAAAUCCCACAGGAUUGCAACUGAGUGUUUGCAUUUAUGUGUGUGAAUCUUGUGUGUCCUCGUGUUCUGGUAUUGUCUUUCUUGUCAUUUCUUGUUGCAGGUGCAAUUUAAAUGUCUUGGCAUCGUACACCCAUACAGUGUCUAUGCCCUCCCCAGCGGUAUGUUCAGGGACCCAAGUAGGGAAUGGAAAGCGGCAGGCCACCACCUUGGCUGUACUUGGUAACUCGCUUGCCAGCUUCAUCUCCAGCUGGUCCAUCUGCAGAUACAGACAGCAACAAUCAGGAUAACAACAAGGAACUCACCAUUUGAGGAACUCCAAAAAUGACAACAUUGGAGUACUGAGCAAAACUGACCUAGCAAAAGAAUCAGAAAUAUUGGAAAUGACAUGGUGAAAAGACAUCCAGUCACUACAAGCCACUAGAUACUUUACUAAUCAGGUUUCACAGACCUUCCACAAGUCAGAGAUGUGGAAUGAGGAGGACCGGUGGACGCCUUCUCUCCAGGCCUUGUAGCGAGAAUACCACACCAGCCAGGGGUUCAGCUCAAAACCUGAUGCCUGAAACCCACGCUUAGCUGCUGCUAUCACCUGCAUGAGGAAGGAGGACCGAACAAAAAUCAAUGCAUCAGCAACAAUGUGCCAACAGUGUAGCAGCAGUUGGGUUUAAAGCAAAUCUGGUAACACUGUGGAGUUUCUUUCUGUGGUGUUAAUACAGCAGUGGUGGAAGAAGUAUUAAGAUCCUUUACUUAAGAUAAAGUACAAGUAAAAGACCCGCAUUAAAAACUUUAAGUAAAAGAGUAUUAUAAGUAUUAUCAGCAAAAUGUACUUUAAAGUACCACAAGUCGAAGUACUCAUAGUAGAGUAAAUGUUCCCUGUCAGUGUUUUACUAUUGUGUAUUUGGAUUAUAGAUAGAUAAUUUAUUCAUCCUCGAUCACAGUGAAAUUGCAGUGUCAUAGUUUGCAUCGGUUUACAUAACUAAAACACACAAUUACAGUUCCAAAACAUACACAACUUACACUCCGUCUGAAGAUACUUUGUAAUCCAGUAGUUUGUGCAGAGGGUGUGGUAUUUUAUCCAUACUUUUGAGCAGUUUGUGCAAUUUCCAAUUUUGUGCAAUAUUACUGCUGUAGGGUUGUGCUCACUUAACUACUUUAUAUACGGUUGGGUAGUUUAAUCUACAGCAUCAUAUUCUAUGAGAUCAUUGUAUGUUUGUAGGGUUGCUGUUCUGGGAGAACCUUGUAGCUCAUCUACUUUUCAUGAAGUAAUUUGUUUAGAUUAAGAAGCAGGAUCAUUUUCUCAACCUUUAAAGGAACACUUUAUCAGAACAUUGUAAUUUCAAAAUCUACACAUUUGAAGAUACAUGGUUUUCACUAUGCAGGAAAGGUUUGAACAUUUGUAAUAUAAAAGUAACUAGUAUUUAAAGCUGUCAGACCGGAGUAGUAAAUACAAUAUUUGCCUCUGAGAUGUAGUGGAGUACAAGUAUAUAGUAGUAGGCUAUGUCAAAUUUGUACUUAGUUACAUUCCAUCACUGUUCUGCAGGACAUCUAUGCAAAAUAUCACAACACAAACCAGAAAAUGUAAGCUUGGUAAGCACUUUCUUCUGGAGGUGAGAUGAAAAAGAAGACACUUCAAAGUUCAAAUAAAAUGACAAGACAUGCUUGUGAAACAUUAACUUUGGCAGAUUUAGAGGAAAUUGAGAUUUGGUCAGUAUAAUGAGCAUGUCACAAACAUCACUCUACAGGGUAAGACAACCCAGCACUUACUAUCCUUCCAUCCCCGCUCCCAAUGUCCACCAGGGUCCCCGAUCUGGCUCGCAGCACCCUGAAGACGUUCUCCACCUGAGUGGUGGUCGCUGGCACGAAAGGGAGGCAGACUUUUCUCAGGGCAGGAGUGACAAACGGAGCAGCCACUGCGUACAGGGCGACCAGCGACCCUCCCAGCACCCCCGUCAGGAUGAGACCCAGUCGACUUCUGCUCUUUACUUCCUUAACCUCGCUGCUGAAAUGUCCGCCCGGUGUCGAGUCAAGCAGAAAAGGCUCUUUUUGUGACAUGAUUAUAGCUUAACGGAGAUGUUACAAGUACAACAUAAAUACGUAACGGCGGCCAACAUUAGCUGAAGUUAAAACAGCAUGAAUGACAGCUGGGACAAUGCUAAAGGUUAGCUACCCAAGGAACGUGUCAUGAAUAACAUCUGAUAUUCAAACCGCACGUGCUCAUUAUGCUGACCGCUAUGUCAGAAGCGCAA
This is a long non-coding RNA of Micropterus dolomieu (smallmouth bass), 2620 nucleotides long. RefSeq lists it as uncharacterized. The transcript has 3 exons. The record is from RefSeq and is a predicted model, not a curated record. NCBI's taxonomy places the organism in Eukaryota, Metazoa, Chordata, Actinopteri, Centrarchiformes, Centrarchidae.